AUGGAGGAUAAACUCGACAGAAGCCUAUGAACCUUGUCAGGUCCGGAAGGAAGCAGCAAUAAGUAGAUACUUUUGUGUGGGGGUAUCUUCCAUAGA
Molecule: signal recognition particle RNA, 96 nt
Filed under: Clostridia bacterium
Lineage: Bacteria; Bacillati; Bacillota; Clostridia
Description: signal recognition particle sRNA small type
Rfam family: Bacterial small signal recognition particle RNA
About the family: The signal recognition particle (SRP) is a universally conserved ribonucleoprotein involved in the co-translational targeting of proteins to membranes. Archaeal SRP consists of a 7S RNA and homologues of the eukaryotic SRP19 and SRP54 proteins.
Source: RNAcentral